Molecule: ribosomal RNA, 496 nt
Filed under: uncultured bacterium
Lineage: Bacteria
Description: partial 16S ribosomal RNA
Rfam family: Bacterial small subunit ribosomal RNA
Source: RNAcentral
GAUGAACGCUGGCGGCGUGCCUAAUACAUGCAAGUCGAGCGAACGGACGAGAAGCUUGCUUCUCUGAUGUUAGCGGCGGACGGGUGAGUAACACGUGGAUAACCUACCUAUAAGACUGGGAUAACUUCGGGAAACCGGAGCUAAUACCGGAUAAUAUUUUGAACCGCAUGGUUCAAAAGUGAAAGACGGUCUUGCUGUCACUUAUAGAUGGAUCCGCGCUGCAUUAGCUAGUUGGUAAGGUAACGGCUUACCAAGGCAACGAUGCAUAGCCGACCUGAGAGGGUGAUCGGCCACACUGGAACUGAGACACGGUCCAGACUCCUACGGGAGGCAGCAGUAGGGAAUCUUCCGCAAUGGGCGAAAGCCUGACGGAGCAACGCCGCGUGAGCGAUGAAGGUCUUCGGAUCGUAAAACUCUGUUAUGAGGGAAGAACAUAUGUGUAAGUAACUGUGCACAUCUUGACGGUACCUAAGCAGAAAGCCACGGCUAACUACGU